AUUGGAAUAUUAUCAGUACCAUAUUCACUAGCUCGUGGAGGAUGGUUAAGUCUAUCACUUCUGUUACUCCUAGCCGCAACCGCCUUCUACACAUCUCUGCUCAUUACAAAAUGCAUGAACGCUGAUCGCAGCAUUAAAACCUAUCCGGACAUUGGAGAACGUGCGUUUGGUAAACCAGGGAGAAUAAUUGUGUCAGUCUUCAUGCACCUAGAACUAUACCUAGUCACCACUGGCUUCUUGAUCAUGGAAGGAGACAAUCUUCAUAAUCUUUUCCCGGGGUUUAACAUCAAAAUGAUCGGUUUAAGAUUGAACGGUAAACAAUCGUUCAUGGCGUCAGUGGCCCUUGUAAUCAUGCCAACUCUUUGGUGGGAUAAUCUAAGCGUCUUGUCUUAUGUUUCUAUGAGUGGUGUUUUAGCUACGGUCUUGACUCUUGGAUCAAUAUCUUGGGUUGGAGCUGUUGAUGGAAUCGGGUUUCGUCAAAGUGGAAAGCUGAUUAACUGGAGUGGCAUCCCUACAGCUUUGAGCUUGUAUGCUUUUUGCUAUGGCGCACAUCCCGUGUUGCCCACUUUGUAUAAUUCCAUGAAAAGUAAACAUCAGUUCAACAAUGUAAGUCAUCAUUUCUACACAUAGAUUUUUUUUUCUGCUAAAAUACACAUAUAUAUUGUUAAAUUUGGAUUAUGUAUAUUUUUAGAUCACGAAUAGAUAUAAAUCAAUCACUAUCAUUAACCAACAAACUCGUGACCACUGGCAUGAAUUUAUAUUUUGUUUUGUUGCAAAUUUAGUUGAUUUGAAAUGCUACUAAUCAGAUGAAUUUUAUUGUGCAAUCAAGUCAUAUCUUAAUAGAUAAGAUUCGUGAUCUAAUAUUAUGAAUUAAUGGCAUGUUCAACCCUUAUAAUUAAUUAAGGAAUUAAGGAAGAGAACAUGCAACAGAGUUCAUUUUCUUUGCCAGAGAGCAUAAUCUAUAUACUUCCUCUGUCCUUAGAUAAAUAUUUCUUUUUAAAACAAAUUGUUUCAAAAAAAAGUUGGGUAUUUUUAUUAGUUAAUAAUGAUAAAUUAUAAACUAAAAAUAAUAAUUAUAUUUUUAAAAUAUUAUUAUUCUAAAAUUAUGAAAAUUGACAAACACACAAAUAAUAUAUUUCUUAUCAAAAUUUAAUAUAUUUUCUUAAUAUGUAUAAAAAUAUAUAAAAUACCUUUUUUAGAAAUACAAGGAGUAUAAUAUAAACCGUUGAAACCAAAGCUACUCUCUAUGUUUCAUGUUAUAGGUAGUUUUAGGGGAAAAAGGUUUGUUUCAAUAUAUAGGUAGUUUUCAUAUUUCAAUGCAUUUUUGUACUUAUUGAAUAUUUUGUGACCAAUAAUUAAUACAUACUUUGUAUGAUUGGUUGCACUUAUACAUAAAUGAUACUUUUUGAAAAGUAACAAAUUUCUUGAUAUUGAUAUUUUUAACUUAAACUACUUGCAUUUUGAAACAGAGGGAGCAGUAAUCAUUUAAGCAAAAUCAAAAUAAUCACAUAAAAUUUUAUGCAGAUCUUUACUUACUCAAAUAAUUUUUUUUUUUGUAAAUACUUGCAGUAUUACACUUAACUUAUGAAACUUCAAUUAUUUAAGAAUGGCGAUUUUAUUUUGGUGAGGAAUGGAAUCAAAAGGCACCACUUCGAUCGCCAGCCAACAAGUUCAUCGAAGGAUAUUUCUUUGGUUUUGGAUUGCUUUGAUUAGCGAAGUAAGGAUAUUGUAUUCGUUUAAUUGAUAUUUUAAAAAGUAGCAUAACUGAAAUGACCACCAUUUUAAAAAAAUUUGAAAUGUAGAUUCCAAAUUUUUGUCAUUAUGGUAUUAAUGAUUGGAUGUGUUUUAGGUUAAAAAUAGACUUCGUAGGUUAGAGGUCUGUAAGUCUAUAAUUUAGAAUAUUGUUUACAUUUGAGUGAAAAAAAAAGAAGAAGAAGCUAAAAUCUAGUAGUUAGUUGGUAGUGAAUCCCUAUCGUGUAGGACUUUAAAUCCUAAUCACCUAAAAAGUUUUGUCUUCACUUUCAUAUGCGUGAGACUCCACUCAUUCCUUUUUCGUGAUCCGUAAACUUAAAUAGGACUACCUGUUCAAGUGCCAUUCUUCAGGCUCGACGAUUCACUUUGGAGAUUAAGUAAGCUCCUUAGAGUUACACAAACUAUUCCCAUUUAUUUUCCAGGUAAAUUUUAUGUUUUUCCUUUUACAAAAUAAUAAAAUCUAGGUUUUUUUUGUUUAAAAAUUAGGGUUUCUGAAUCGUUUAUGUGUAAACAAGCCUUUAAAAUUUGGAGACUAUAAUUAUAUAUUUAUUCAUAAAUAUGCAUAUACGCACACGUAACUCCUAAUUAAUCACAAUAAGUAAUCACGUUUCUCUUGCUUUUCUCUUUUGAUGAACUCAACCAUAUAAUCUUCUAUUAUUUUUGAACAGAAAGAUAUAUCAUUAUUUCUGAUACUCUCUUUCUAUAGAAGUUCAAACUGUACACGUUAAAGUUCACUUAUACACAACUUUGCAAAAAUAAAAUUGCAUUCUCUACUUUUCUAUGAGAAGUUAUCAGCAAUGGAAGAAGAUAACCAAGAAAAACAACUUGAAGAUGGCGGAUCUUCUUCUCUCUUUAAGACUUGUUUCAACGCACUCAAUGCUUUUUCAGGUUAACUUUUAUUUAGUCGAUACAUUUAUAUAUUUACUCGUCUUUGUAUAACAAUUUGAAUGCUAAUGGCUAUAACGGAAAUUGUAUUAGGCAUUGGAAUAUUAUCAGUACCAUAUUCACUAGCUCGUGGAGGAUGGUUAAGUCUAUCACUUCUGUUACUCCUAGCCGCAACCGCCUUCUACACAUCUCUGCUCAUUACAAAAUGCAUGAACGCUGAUCGCAGCAUUAAAACCUAUCCGGACAUUGGAGAACGUGCGUUUGGUAAACCAGGGAGAAUAAUUGUGUCAGUCUUCAUGCACCUAGAACUAUACCUAGUCACCACUGGCUUCUUGAUCAUGGAAGGAGACAAUCUUCAUAAUCUUUUCCCGGGGUUUAACAUCAAAAUGAUCGGUUUAAGAUUGAACGGUAAACAAUCGUUCAUGGCGUCAGUGGCCCUUGUAAUCAUG
Molecule: long non-coding RNA, 3086 nt
Filed under: Brassica napus (rape)
Lineage: Eukaryota; Viridiplantae; Streptophyta; Magnoliopsida; Brassicales; Brassicaceae
Description: long non-coding RNA (BNAP_LNC001703)
Source: RNAcentral